AUGAAGAAGAAUCUUGGCAAGAGAACUGCUGAAGCUGGUGGAAAUGAUGAUCCUCAGCGCAAGCGACUACAUGUCACUGAAGGUCCCAACUCUGAUGAUGAUGACUUUGUCCUUGCUGAUUUUAUGAAGGGUGUUCGUCCUUGUAGACGCAAAUACUGUGGUUCAUCUAAGAGUCUAUACAAGCGUUACCGUGAUGAAGUCGACGAAGAUGUUGGUGGUGACUCUGGUGAGGAGGUGGAUGCUGCUCCAAAGAGCAAGAAGUCUAGUAAGAGCAAUGCAACUGAAGAUGAUGCUGAGGGAGAUGAUUCUCGAUUUAACAAGACUGUGCGGUUGUCUCUCCCCACUGUUUGCAAGGCUGUUUCUUUGUUGAAAGAGGCGCAUUGUAGCCGCGUUAGGGAUGCUGGAUUUAGUGUUGUCUUUGAUCUGACAGUGAAGAAAAAUGUGUCGCGCAUUCUUAUGUGCUAUCUGAUGGGACUCAUUGACCCUACCACCAUGGAUGAGCUUGGCUUUGAUCAUUCAAAAAGUAUAGGUGUCAAAGACUUGCUUGAGAAGUUGAAGGUGUUGGUGGAGGAAGAUGAUUAUGUGACUGUUGACCUUUCUGUGAAGGUGUUCUUCCUGAUACUUAACCAGAAUUUGCUGUGUCCGGGGCCUGUAGUUUGUUUGGGUAGAGUUGCUGCGAUGGUAGAGAACAUGGAUUAUGCUGCUAUGGCUCAGAUGGACUUUUGCCACCUUGUUGUUGAUGAGUUGCAGGCAGCUGUGGUUAGGUGGAAAGCAGAAGGCAACAAGCAGAAUUAUGCAGAGGUUUGUGCCAUUAUCCCCCUGAUUAUGUAUCUUGACUACUUGAAGCUUCGCAAAUUUUCAGUCAUGCACAUGUUCACGCCACGCGCGUCAUACCUGAUAACCAAGGACCUAAUGAAGUUGUACAAUGAGGAUCUGCUUGUGAAGGGAAAGAUUUACAUGGAAAUUUACAAAUUUGGGAAACUACCGUGGAAGGCGUCAGGUGACAUUGUGUACAACCGUCCUGUUGCAAUUGUACAUGGCAACUCUGAUGCGGGGCCUAGCACUCAUGCUAGGUUUUAUGAGCCUAUCUGUAGCAAGCUUCCUGCCUGUGAUUUUGAGACUGGUGUUGUUGCUGGUGAUGUGCACAAAGAGACCUACGAUGGCUCUGGGAAGGAUGAGGUCUUGGCUGAUGCAUCGUCCCCUGUGGAUGUUGUAGCUGAUAAGGUUGGAGAAGAAAACGUGGAAGUUCACGCUGAUGUGAAUCAGGGCAGUUGUGACGUUGAUGGCCGUGGCAGUGUCGAUGCUUCUGCAUCUGUUGCCGUUGACUACGCAGAUCCUUCUGUAGCUCAAGGAUCCCAUGAUGCUGUUCCCAUCAGUCGGCAUGAAGAUUCUGAUGUUGGUACUGAAAAGCCACUGGAGAAUGUUGCCCCUGCUGCUAGUGUUGGUGCUUCCCUUGUCUGUCUGGUGUCCAAUGAUGUUCCAGAAGUAUCGAGAGUGGAGCCGCAUGUAGCUGAAGUAUCUAAGGACAUUGCUGUUGACCAGACUGCUAUAAAUCUAGAGAAUGAUGAUGUUGCUGUAGAAUGGCAGUCCAAUGAUGAACUUCCUAUUGUGACACCGUCGAGCAUUGAUCCAUCUCUUCUAAAAAGAUACAAUGAGUUGUACGCUGCUGUUACGAGGGCUCAGAAGGACAAGAAGAAGAAGGACAUGAUUGCUUUUAAAACUGAGAUGGGUGAUAUUACCAUUGGCGAAGUUGGUCAAUCCUUUUGGGAUAAAGGGAUGCUCACUACAAGGCUUGUAGAUCUUGGGGUUUCUUUGCUGCUAGAUAAGUUUAAGGCAUCUCCGACAAUGGUUGUCCCGUACCAUAUUUGUACAAAUAUUUGGAAUGGUGGUACUGUAGGCAGGAGUGUUAAAAUGAUGUUCUCCUCAAAAGCCGUGGAGCGUGUUGAUAAGAAGGAUACGGUCCUUUUUGAAACUUUUAAUCCGCCAGAUACGAGGGAUGGUGUUGGUCAUUAUUGUGUAGUUGCAUUGAAUGUGAAAGAAAGGCGGUUUGAAUUUGUUGACUCGCUCAACAAACCUGGUUUUGAUGGGGGGCUUCAUGAAGGCUGUAUGUCACUGUUUGAGUCCCAGGGUUCCGAGGUGGUUAUGGAGAAUUGUGUCAUUGAAAUCUCUCUAGAUAAUUCUGGUUCUUUAGCUGGAUAUGGUUUGAACACGAAUGUGGCGUAUGGACCUGAUGGUGGAAGUGUCUGUCGACCUAGAUCCACACACGAAGUAUAUGAUGUUGAUGAUGAUGAUUUUGUUACGCCGAAGUACACUGGUCAUCCUGAUGUCAUGACAAGGUGGUGCAGGACUGACUACCACGCAGAUUCCACUGAAGUGCCUGCUGUUGAAGAUUGGAAGGCGGAGUACAUGUUCCAGCUGCUGUUCAAUCCUUCGAACAUGUUGUGUUAUGAAGACAUGCUGCUCGAGCUACGUGAUCAGAUUGCGGACCUCGGGCUCACUUCCAGGACGCAAUCAUAG
RNAcentral lists this ribosomal RNA (2517 nucleotides) under Triticum aestivum (bread wheat). RNAcentral describes it as "partial small subunit ribosomal RNA". The record is from RNAcentral. Lineage: Eukaryota; Viridiplantae; Streptophyta; Magnoliopsida; Poales; Poaceae.